GAAAUGCGAUACGUAGUGUGAAUUGCAGAAAACCGUGAACCAUCGAAUCUUUGAACGCAUAUUGCGCCCGCGGCUUCGGCCAAGGGCAUGUCUGCCUCAGCGUCGGGUUAAUACUCGUCCCACAUUCCCCUCUUCUCUGAGAGGGUGAGUGCUCUGGGACGGAUCUGGCCGUCUCAACCCAUUCACCUGGGUUGGGUUGGCUGAAGUGCAGAGGCUUGAUCAAGGACCCGUCAAGGGCCGCAGCUGGUUAGGCAGUGAUGCUAAUACGAUUAGCUGUUGGUCUGGGUCCCGACCGAGCCCUCAACAAGGAAACUCAUUAACUUAUUUCCUCGACCUGAGCUCAGGCAAGAUUACCCGCUGAACUUAA
RNAcentral lists this unclassified non-coding RNA (367 nucleotides) under uncultured fungus. RNAcentral's name for it is "sequence contains ITS1". The stretch from base 1 to 105 matches the Rfam family "5.8S ribosomal RNA", at positions 50 to 154 of the family's 154-position model. Lineage: Eukaryota; Fungi. The record is from RNAcentral.